This 3807-nucleotide ribosomal RNA is filed under the name Triticum aestivum (bread wheat). Its description in RNAcentral is "partial small subunit ribosomal RNA". Lineage: Eukaryota; Viridiplantae; Streptophyta; Magnoliopsida; Poales; Poaceae. The record is from RNAcentral.
AUGCCUGCCCCGCCCGACCAGCCCGCAGCCACUGGCGCUGGGGAUGCCUCGACUGAUCCUACUGCCGCCGCUGUCUGCGACGACGUGCACGACUCCAAGGAGGUCGUCCUGCGGCGGUACUUCCUUCAGGAAUGGGAGCUGGUCUCCGCCAUCCUCCGCCGCAUCUUCGCCGCUGGCGGCGUCGCGGAGCCCGCCGACGUCCACAGGAUCCGCUCCAUCAUGGACAAAUAUCAAGAAGAAGGUCAACUUCUCGAGCCAUACCUAGAAGACAUCAUCUCACCACUUAUGUCGUUGGUUCGAUCAAAGAUAAUGGAACUUGGUGCUGCCACAGAUGAGCUCCUUGAAAUCAUCAAGCCUCUGUGUAUUAUCAUCUACACCCUGGUCACAGUCUGUGGGUAUAAGAGCGUCAUCAAGUUCUUCCCUCAUCAGGUUUCAGAUCUAGAGCUUGCGGUUGCUCUCCUUGAGAAGUGCCAUACAAUGAGCUCAGCGACAGCUCUUAGGCAAGAGAGCACAGGAGAAAUGGAGACCAAGUGUGUCGUUCUGUUGUGGCUUUAUAUACUGAUCUUAAUUCCAUUUGAUAUCUCCUCCGUUGACACGAGCAUUGCUGCCACUGAUCAUGUGCCCGGGUCUGAGGUUGUUCCGCUUGUGACAAGGAUCUUGGACAUCUGUAAGGAUUAUCUCUCCAACUCUGGUCCAAUGAGAAGGAUGUCAGGGUUGCUGCUUGCAAGGCUGUUGACUCGUCCAGACAUGCUGAAGGCCUUCAGCAGUUUUAUGGAAUGGGCGCACAAAAUCUUGUUGUCUGUCACAGAUGACUUUGUGGAUCAAUUUAGGUCCAUUGGCAUAGUGGAAGCUUUAGCAUCAAUAUUUAAGAUUGGUAACAGGAGAGUGCUACAUGAUGCCAAUUCUGGUAUUUGGAACGACUGUUCAUUUGUGAUGAAGACUAAUAUUGCCAUCAGAAGUCCCCUCCUUAGGAAAUUUCUGGUCAAACUGGCACAGCGAGUUGCUCUCAUUAGCUUGGCUCCCCGUACGCCAUCAUGGCGCUAUCAGUCAAUAAGUAGUUCACUGGGUGCAAACCUUUUAAGUUCUACUGCUGCGUCUUCAAAUGGAUCAACCCAACAAGUGAACAUUGAUCAAACAGACACAUGUGGGUUGGAAGAAGAUAUGGAUGUUCCAGAAAUUGUGGAAGAGAUAAUCGACUUACUAUUGACUGGCUUGAGGGAUUCGGAUACUAUUGUGAGAUGGUCUGCUGCCAAAGGUGUCGGCAGAAUAACUGCACGUUUAACACCUGCACUGUCUGAAGAAGUUCUAUCAUCAAUCUUGCAGCUUUUUUCUCCUGGUGAGGGGGAUGGUUCCUGGCAUGGAGGCUGCUUGGCUUUGGCUGAACUUGCUCGGAGGGGGCUGUUGCUGCCUUCUAGCUUUCCUGAUGUUAUUCCCGUUAUAACGAAGGCUUUACACUAUGAUGUGCGUAGAGGUCCACAUAGCAUUGGUUCACACGUAAGAGAUGCCGCAGCAUACGUUUGUUGGGCGUUUGGUCGUGCCUAUACUAACUUAGAUAUGAAGGUGGUCUUGGAACAACUUGCUCCCCACCUUCUAACGGUUGCUUGUUAUGAUCGAGAGGUUAAUUGUAGAAGAGCUGCUUCUGCUGCCUUUCAAGAGAAUGUUGGAAGACAGGGAACUUAUCCGCAUGGCAUUGAUAUUGUGAAUACAACAGACUACUUUGCACUAGCUUCACGAUCAAACUCUUAUCUGAGUGUCGCCGUUUCUGUUGCUCAGUAUAAGGAGUAUGUUUACCCCUUUGCAGAAGAGCUGCUGUGCAAUAAAAUAACUCACUGGGAGAAAAGCUUGAGAGAGUUGGCGGCGCAGGCCCUUGCUUUGCUUGUGCAAUAUGAUAUGGAUUACUUCUCUGAGCAUGCCCUUAAAAAGUUAAUUCCCUGCACUCUAUCAUCAGAUCUCUGCACUCGACAUGGGGCCACUUUAGCUGCUGGCGAAAUUGCUUUGAAGUUGCAUCAGCUUGGUUUCAUUUUUACCACAGACAUGCAGAGAGGUUUGUCAGGCAUUGUCCCUGCAAUUGAAAAGGCACGCCUUUAUCGAGGUAAAGGAGGAGAGAUUAUGCGCUCUGCUGUUUCUCGAUUCAUUGCAUGUAUUUCCAUGGCUGCAAUAUCCUUGAAUGAGAAGACAAAGAGAAGUUUAGUUGAAACCCUUAACGAGAAUUUGAAGCAUCCCAAUUCUCAAAUACAGUGUGCCGCUGUUGACGCUUUGAAGCAUUUUAUUCCAACAUAUCUGGUUUCUGCUGGUGAAAAGAUUGCUAAUGAUGUCAUUUCGAAGUAUGUGACGCUUCUAGAUGACCCGAAUGUAGCUGCAAGACGAGGCGGGGCGCUGGCCCUUGGAAUAUUACCGUACGAGUUCUUGUUACUAAAAUGGAUGCCUGUCAUGAGUAAGCUCUGUAGCUCAUGCACAAUAGAGGAUAAGGCUGAUGAUCCUGACGCUGAAGCACGUGUGAAUUCUGUUAGGGGGCUAAUUCUGGUUUGCGAAACAUUAACAUCUAAUGUUGAUCAGAGCUCAGAUAUUGGAGAAUCUGUAUAUGCAUACAUAAAAGUUGAGGUCAUGCCAGCUUUAUUCAGAGCACUUGAUGAUUAUGCUGUAGAUAACAGAGGAGAUGUGGGUUCUUGGGUACGUGAAGCAGCAAUGGAUGCGCUAGAAAGAUGCACGUUCAUCCUCUGCAAGAGAGAUGCUGUUGCAGUGAGAGCAGCGCCAGCUGCUGAGGAUGAGUCUGAGCCAAGCGACAUGGAUGCAAAUGCAAUUAGUACCACAUGCCAACUAUUUGAUUCUGCUAUUGCACAGGGUCUGGUCGCUGGCAUUGCAAAGCAGGCAGUUGAGAAAAUAGAUAAGAUAAGAGAAAUAGCAGUCAGGACUCUGCAGAGGAUUCUGUACAACCAAGAACAGUUUGUCCCGUCUAUACCUUACAGGAAGCUGUUGGAAGAAAUUAUUCCUAAUAAUUCUGAUUUGGAGUGGGCAGUUCCUACGGUAUCAUAUCCACGAUUGGUGAAGAUUCUUCAGGCUAGCUGUUACAGCAAGCCUGUGCUUUCAGGGCUUGUGAUUUCUACCGGUGGGUUGCAGGAGUCUUUGAGGAAAGCUUCAACAUCAGCUUUAGUAGGAUACUUGCAAGAUUCAAGUAUUAAUAUAGAUGAUAAAGGGAAAAGUAGAGAGUAUCUAUUGAGUCAUGACAUUUUGUGGGUUCUCCAGCGUUACCAGAAGUGCGACCGUGUAAUUACACCCACAUUGAAGACUAUCGAGACUCUGCUCAGUAAACAGGUCUUCUUGAACAAGGAGGGGCACGGCGACUUCUACAGUGAAUUGGUAAAUUUACUAGGCCCUGAACUGAAGGGAUCAAAGGACUUCACGAAGUUAUGUGCGGGCCUCUCAAUCCUAGGAUAUAUUUCUUCACAAUUGGAUGGGACUGGCACCAAGGCGUUCUCUCAACUUCUAGUGUUCCUAGGCCAUAGAUACCCCAAGAUCCGGAAGGCUGCGGCUGAUCAGGUGUACCUUGUGCUGCUGCAAAAUGACAGUCUGAUCUCGGCGGAAGAUAUGGAUAAAGCCCAGGAAGUGCUCGCGGAGACAUGCUGGGAAGGAGACGUCGAGGAAGCGAGGCACAAGAGGUCGGAACUGAAUGCGAUGGCUGGUUUUGGCGUCGCCACCUCGCAGAAGUCUGAGAAUCGACAGGGAGCAAGAGCUCCCGAUGUUCGAAAUGCUGCUUCAACUGAUGAGAACACGUCGUAUUCCUCACUGGUUGAAUUCAGUGGGUACUAG